This 497-nucleotide ribosomal RNA is filed under the name uncultured bacterium. Its description in RNAcentral is "partial 16S ribosomal RNA". It matches the Rfam family "Bacterial small subunit ribosomal RNA", at positions 28 to 507 of the family's 1533-position model. The record is from RNAcentral.
GACGAACGCUGGCGGCGUGCCUAAUACAUGCAAGUAGAACACUGAAGCUUGGUGCUUGCACCGAGCGGAUGAGUUGCGAACGGGUGAGUAACGCGUAGGUAACCUGCCUGGUAGCGGGGGAUAACUAUUGGAAACGAUAGCUAAUACCGCAUAAUAGUAGAUGUUGCAUGACAUUUGCUUAAAAGGUGCAAUUGCAUCACUACCAGAUGGACCUGCGUUGUAUUAGCUAGUUGGUGAGGUAACGGCUCACCAAGGCAACGAUACAUAGCCGACCUGAGAGGGUGAUCGGCCACACUGGGACUGAGACACGGCCCAGACUCCUACGGGAGGCAGCAGUAGGGAAUCUUCGGCAAUGGACGGAAGUCUGACCGAGCAACGCCGCGUGAGUGAAGAAGGUUUUCGGAUCGUAAAGCUCUGUUGUAAGAGAAGAACGAGUGUGAGAGUGGAAAGUUCACACUGUGACGGUAUCUUACCAGAAAGGGACGGCUAACUACGUG